This 395-nucleotide ribosomal RNA is filed under the name uncultured bacterium. RNAcentral's name for it is "bacterial SSU rRNA". It matches the Rfam family "Bacterial small subunit ribosomal RNA", at positions 29 to 412 of the family's 1533-position model. The record is from RNAcentral.
AACGAACGCUGGCGGCGCGCCUAAUACAUGCAAGUCGAGCGAGAAGACGUAGCAAUACGCUUGUAAAGCGGCGAACGGGUGAGGAAUACAUGGGUAACCUACCCUCGAGUGGGGAAUAACUAGCCGAAAGGUUAGCUAAUACCGCGUACGCUCCUUGGACUUCGGUUCAGGGAGGAAAGCGAUACCGUGGGUAUCGCGCUCUUGGAUGGGCUCAUGUCCUAUCAGCUUGUUGGNGAGGUAACGGCUCACCAAGGCUUCGACGGGUAGCUGGUCUGAGAGGACGAUCAGCCACACUGGCACUGCGACACGGGCCAGACUCCUACGGGAGGCAGCAGUAAGGAAUAUUGCGCAAUGGGCGAAAGCCUGACGCAGCGACGCCGCGGUGGGGGAGUGAA